AUUGAACGCUAGCGGGAUGCCUUACACAUGCAAGUCGAACGGCAGCACGGACUUCGGUCUGGUGGCGAGUGGCGAACGGGUGAGUAAUGUAUCGGAACGUGCCUAGUAGCGGGGGAUAACUACGCGAAAGCGUAGCUAAUACCGCAUACGCCCUACGGGGGAAAGCAGGGGAUCGCAAGACCUUGCACUAUUAGAGCGGCCGAUAUCGGAUUAGCUAGUUGGUGGGGUAACGGCUCACCAAGGCGACGAUCCGUAGCUGGUUUGAGAGGACGACCAGCCACACUGGGACUGAGACACGGCCCAGACUCCUACGGGAGGCAGCAGUGGGGAAUUUUGGACAAUGGGGGAAACCCUGAUCCGGCCAUCCCGCGUGUGCGAUGAAGGCCUUCGGGUUGUAAAGCACUUUUGGCAGGAAAGAAACGUCAUGGGUUAAUACCCCGUGAAACUGACGGUACCUGCAGAAUAAGCACCGGCUAACUACGUGCCAGCAGCCGCGGUAAUACGUAGGGUGCAAGCGUUAAUCGGAAUUACUGGGCGUAAAGCGUGCGCAGGCGGUUCGGAAAGAAAGAUGUGAAAUCCCAGAGCUUAACUUUGGAACUGCAUUUUUAACUACCGAGCUAGAG
RNAcentral lists this ribosomal RNA (623 nucleotides) under uncultured bacterium. Its description in RNAcentral is "bacterial SSU rRNA". It matches the Rfam family "Bacterial small subunit ribosomal RNA", at positions 28 to 646 of the family's 1533-position model. The record is from RNAcentral.